RNAcentral lists this transfer RNA (75 nucleotides) under subsurface metagenome. RNAcentral's name for it is "tRNA-Lys". It matches the Rfam family "tRNA". Rfam says of the family: Transfer RNA (tRNA) molecules are approximately 80 nucleotides in length. Their secondary structure includes four short double-helical elements and three loops (D, anti-codon, and T loops). Further hydrogen bonds mediate the characteristic L-shaped molecular structure. tRNAs have two regions of fundamental functional importance: the anti-codon, which is responsible for specific mRNA codon recognition, and the 3' end, to which the tRNAs corresponding amino acid is attached (by aminoacyl-tRNA synthetases). tRNAs cope with the degeneracy of the genetic code in two manners: having more than one tRNA (with a specific anti-codon) for a particular amino acid; and 'wobble' base-pairing, i.e. permitting non-standard base-pairing at the 3rd anti-codon position. The record is from RNAcentral.
GGGCUAUUAGCGCAGGCAGGUAGCGCAUCCGGCUCUUAACCGGCAGGUCGGGGGUUCGAUUCCCUCAUAGCCCGC